RNAcentral lists this long non-coding RNA (2021 nucleotides) under Malus domestica (apple). Its description in RNAcentral is "long non-coding RNA (MDOM_LNC007904)". Lineage: Eukaryota; Viridiplantae; Streptophyta; Magnoliopsida; Rosales; Rosaceae. The record is from RNAcentral.
UUUUCACAUUUAUGUAAAAAUGAGCAUUUUUUUCCUUUCAAAUAAUUGUAACAAGUAAAUUAGCAUUUAUUCACAAAUAUACAAAUGUUAUUUUAUUCAAAAUUACCAAUAUUUUACAUAUAUAAAAUAACAAUAUAAUUUCCAGGUAAAAUAAUACAUGCAAAAUAAUUUACCUAUGUAAUAAAUAAAUAAAUAUUGUUUGAUUCAAAAGUUAUUUAAGCUAUUUGCAUACACAUAUAUAUAAUAAUAUCAAAACGUGCCUAACAUAUGUAAUAAUACAUGCAAAAUAAUUUACCUACAAAAUAAAUGAAUGUUGAUUGAUUGCAAACAACACAUAAUAAUAACAAAUGUGCCUAGUAUAUGUAAUAAUACAUGCAAAAUAAUUUACCUACAAAAUAAAAGGAUGUUUUUAGCCAAUUGAUUCAAAGUUAAUUAAUUACCUAUAUUAUACUUAAAAAUAUAGGUAAUUUAUUUCACACAAAUAUAAUAAUAACAAAAUGUGCCUAAUGUAUACAUGCAAAAUAAUUUACUUACAAUGAUUGUCAAACAAAUAUAAGAAAUGGAAUAGAUGAUGGUGAGACAAGUAUAAAGUGGAUACUUUUGUAAUUUACCUACUGAAUAAAUGAAUGUUGAUUGAUUGCAAACAACACAUAAUAAUAACAAAUGUGCCUAGUAUAUGUAAUAAUACAUGCAAAAUUAUUUACUUACAAAAUCAAAGGAUGUUUUUAGCCAAUUGAUUCAAAGUUAAUUUGUCACAGCCCGUCCCGGAGGUACCUUUGACGGGAACGUGAAAUGACUGAAUUGCCCUUAACGGGCACUAAGGUGUGUGUGUGAUAUGUUUUAGAUAUUCAUAUUUUUCCUACACUAUUGGAAAUAUUAUUUAAGUUAGAUAAGAAUAUUGGAAGGUUGGAUUGUUGUUUGGUUAGGGAAUUAGAAAUGGAUGGUGUGGAUUGACUUUGGACCCCUACACCCUCACAUUUCCUUCCCUCUUUCCCGUACCCUGUCUCUCUCUCCUCCCUCACGACUCUCUCUCACUCUCUCUCACCCAAAACGUACGGCACACACCCAAAUCCUCCAAAACUCGACGGAUCGAGGCAACCAAGGUAUGCAUCUUCAUCCUUUCGACAUUCUGAGUUCAUUGGUACUAGUUUUAGGAAGUGAAACCCUCGAAAUCACGGGAAACCCGAACCUCCAUUUUUGAGUUACUGUUCAUGCACACGUAAAAUGUCGUGUUUAAGGGAAUUCUAAGCUUGUAGUGAGCUUAGUGAAGUCCUAAGGAGGCUCGGAGUACUUCGUUUGAAGGAUUUGGACGUCGGGAUCACGUGGUUCCAUUUUGGCCGAAUUUCUUGAGAAUUUUCCGGUGAGAUUUCUUGAUUUUUAGAGCCUUAAAGUAGUGUAUUGUGAGUCUACAUGUUUGGGGCUUCAAUUUGAUAUAUUAUACGAAGAAAAUGGUUGAGAAACGAAGGAGAACGAAGCAUUUGAAAAUUCCCCAGUUUUCCGGCCACCGGAAAAACCAGUCCGGCGAACCCGCGAGGAAGAAGGUGCGCGUGGGCGCGCGUGGACCCGUGCCUUCCUUGGCGCGUGGGGGCGCGUGCUACAGUAAAAAAUUAUUUUAAAAAUAUUUCGACGUCCGUGACGUCGAGUAGAUCACUGUGGUAUAUUCAUAUACCCAAAUUGAGCACCGUAUGAGAAAGUUAUUAAGGAUUGUUGGUUAGGUGUUCGAAUAACGUUUUAUAGUUUUCGCAUUAGGUGAAAAUGUGAAUUGAUGAUCCGACCGUUGGAUCGUUACCAAACUUUGAUACGUUGUAAUACGUAAUAUUUGAGGAUUAUUGGAACUUACGGAUUGGGAAUCCGAGUUACGGAUCUUCCGGAAUUGGAAUUGUAAGUUCAUAAAAUAAAAUGUUAACCGUCACUUAGUUUUGGAAAUUGACGGAGAUCCGACCGUUGGAUGGUAAUGAAAUUUUAGGAUGUUAUCCUAGAGAUAUAUUGUGGACCUCUGGAAGUUAUGGAUUUAAAAUCUG